CAGUGCCGCGGUAAUGCGAAGGGGGCUAGCGUUGUUCGGAUUUACUGGGCGUAAAGGGCGCGUAGGCGGACUGAUAAGUCAGGGGUGAAAUCCCAAGGCUCAACCUUGGAACUGCCUUUGAUACUGUUUGUCUUGAGUUCGAGAGAGGUAAGUGGAACUGCGAGUGUAGAGGUGAAAUUCGUAGAUAUUCGCAAGAACACCAGUGGCGAAGGCGGCUUACUGGCUCGAAACUGACGCUGAGGCGCGAAAGCGUGGGGAGCAAACAGGAUUAGAUACCCCCGUAGUCCCUGUCUCUUAUACA
RNAcentral lists this ribosomal RNA (301 nucleotides) under uncultured bacterium. Its description in RNAcentral is "partial 16S ribosomal RNA". It matches the Rfam family "Bacterial small subunit ribosomal RNA", at positions 509 to 808 of the family's 1533-position model. The record is from RNAcentral.